This 345-nucleotide unclassified non-coding RNA is filed under the name soil metagenome. RNAcentral describes it as "partial contains 5.8S ribosomal RNA, internal transcribed spacer 2, and large subunit ribosomal RNA". The stretch from base 1 to 120 matches the Rfam family "5.8S ribosomal RNA", at positions 35 to 154 of the family's 154-position model. The record is from RNAcentral.
GAUGAAGAACGUAGCGAAAUGCGAUACGUAAUGUGAAUUGCAGAAUUCAGUGAAUCAUCGAGUCUUUGAACGCACAUUGCGCCCCCUGGUAUUCCGGGGGGCAUGCCUGUCCGAGCGUCAUUGCUGCCCUCAAGCACGGCUUGUGUGUUGGGCCUCCGUCCUCCUCCCGGGGGACGGGCCCGAAAGGCAGCGGCGGCACCGCGUCCGGUCCUCGAGCGUAUGGGGCUUCGUCACCCGCUCUUGUAGGCCCGGCCGGCGCUUGCCGACACAUCAAUCUUUUUUCCAGGUUGACCUCGGAUCAGGUAGGGAUAUCCGCUGAACUUAAGCAUAUCAAUAAGCGGAGGA